GACGAACGCUGGCGGCGUGCUUAACACAUGCAAGUCGAACGAAGAGCGAUGGAAGCUUGCUUCUAUCAAUCUUAGUGGCGAACGGGUGAGUAACGCGUAAUCAACCUGCCCUUCAGAGGGGGACAACAGUUGGAAACGACUGCUAAUACCGCAUACGAUCUAAUCUCGGCAUCGAGGAUAGAUGAAAGGUGGCCUCUACAUGUAAGCUAUCACUGAAGGAGGGGAUUGCGUCUGAUUAGCUAGUUGGAGGGGUAACGGCCCACCAAGGCGAUGAUCAGUAGCCGGUCUGAGAGGAUGAACGGCCACAUUGGGACUGAGACACGGCCCAGACUCCUACGGGAGGCAGCAGUGGGGAAUCUUCCGCAAUGGACGAAAGUCUGACGGAGCAACGCCGCGUGAGUGAUGACGGCCUUCGGGUUGUAAAGCUCUGUUAAUCGGGACGAAAGGCCUUCUUGCGAAUAGUGAGAAGGAUUGACGGUACCGGAAUAGAAAGCCACGGCGAACUACGU
This 509-nucleotide ribosomal RNA is filed under the name uncultured bacterium. RNAcentral describes it as "partial 16S ribosomal RNA". It matches the Rfam family "Bacterial small subunit ribosomal RNA", at positions 28 to 506 of the family's 1533-position model. The record is from RNAcentral.